Molecule: transfer RNA, 66 nt
Filed under: Sericostoma personatum
Lineage: Eukaryota; Metazoa; Arthropoda; Insecta; Trichoptera; Sericostomatidae
Description: tRNA-Tyr
Source: RNAcentral
AGUAAAAUGGCCGAUAAUAAGCAAUAAAUUGUAAAUUUAUUUAUAAAUUGAAAAAUUUUUUUACUA